Molecule: ribosomal RNA, 254 nt
Filed under: uncultured bacterium
Lineage: Bacteria
Description: partial 16S ribosomal RNA
Rfam family: Bacterial small subunit ribosomal RNA
Source: RNAcentral
UACGUAGGGGGCAAGCGUUGUCCGGAUUCAUUGGGCGUAAAGAGCUCGUAGGCGGCUUGGCAAGUCGGGUGUGAAAACUCCAGGCUCAACCUGGAGACGCCACCCGAUACUGCCAUGGCUUGAGUCCGGUAGGGGACCACGGAAUUCCUGGUGUAGCGGUGAAAUGCGCAGAUAUCAGGAGGAACACCGGUGGCGAAGGCGGGUCUCUGGGCCGUAACUGACGCUGAGGAGCGAAAGCGUGGGGAGCGAACAGG